CGCUGGCGGCGUGCCUAAUACAUGCAAGUUGAACGCAACAAAGACACCAGAGCUUGCUCUACCGUCUUGUUGAGUAGCGAACGGGUGAGUAACGCGUGGGUAACCUGCCUUAUAGCGGGGGAUAACUAUUGGAAACGAUAGCUAAUACCGCAUAACAAUAGAGAUUGCAUAAUCUUUAUUUGAAAGUGCCAACUGGUACACUAUGAGAUGGACCCGCGUUGUAUUAGCUAGUUGGUAGUGUAAUGGACUACCAAGGCGAUGAUACAUAGCCGACCUGAGAGGGUGAUCGGCCACAUUGGGACUGAGACACGGCCCAAACUCCUACGGGAGGCAGCAGUAGGGAAUCUUCGGCAAUGGACGAAAGUCUGACCGAGCAACGCCGCGUGAGUGAAGAAGGUUUUCGGAUCGUAAAACUCUGUUGUUAGAGAAGAAUGUUGAUUAGAGUGGAAAAUUAAUCAAGUGACGGUAUCUAACCAGAAAGGGACGGCUAACUACGUG
This 498-nucleotide ribosomal RNA is filed under the name uncultured bacterium. Its description in RNAcentral is "bacterial SSU rRNA". It matches the Rfam family "Bacterial small subunit ribosomal RNA", at positions 34 to 507 of the family's 1533-position model. The record is from RNAcentral.